GCCGGGGUGGCUGAGCGGUUAAAUAAAUUUAAAAAUGUUGAUCAGAGCGCUGGCCUUGAGAGCCAGUGGCCCAUGCGGGCCGCAGGGGUUCGAAUCCCUUCCCCGGCG
This 108-nucleotide transfer RNA is filed under the name Candidatus Bathyarchaeota archaeon. Its description in RNAcentral is "tRNA-Ser". It matches the Rfam family "tRNA". From Rfam's summary of the family: Transfer RNA (tRNA) molecules are approximately 80 nucleotides in length. Their secondary structure includes four short double-helical elements and three loops (D, anti-codon, and T loops). Further hydrogen bonds mediate the characteristic L-shaped molecular structure. tRNAs have two regions of fundamental functional importance: the anti-codon, which is responsible for specific mRNA codon recognition, and the 3' end, to which the tRNAs corresponding amino acid is attached (by aminoacyl-tRNA synthetases). tRNAs cope with the degeneracy of the genetic code in two manners: having more than one tRNA (with a specific anti-codon) for a particular amino acid; and 'wobble' base-pairing, i.e. permitting non-standard base-pairing at the 3rd anti-codon position. The record is from RNAcentral. Lineage: Archaea; Thermoproteati; Candidatus Bathyarchaeota.